UUGUAAGGUUAGCUGAAUGCCCUCAGACAAGUGAUCUAGCCUCUACUGGCUUCAGCAACAGGUAUCAAAGCACAUGCUCGCUGCCCAAUGACAGUUUGUUCCUACGCUUUUCUUUCCAGGUUCCUGGACUCUACAAGGCCACUGUAACCUCUACUGCCAGCUGUACCUGUGGUAUCUUCUUGAACUUUCUGCCUUAAUUGCAUCUGACUUCUUGCCUUAUCAAACAGGCAGAGGACAUCUGAUUAUUCCAAUCCUUGGUGCUUUUCAAAAACACAGUCUCCCGACCUCUGCUGGAAGGGAACUUGCUCAUCAUCUACAGCAUUCGGAAGAGACUGUGAGAGAGAUAUAGAGAGAAAGGUCUUCCUUCUAUUGGUUCACCCCCCAAAUGGCUGCUACGGCCGGAGCUACACCAAUCCAAAGCCAGCAGCCAGGUGCUUCCUCUUGGUCUUCCAUGCGGGUGCAGGGUCCAAGCACUUGGGCCAUCCUCCACUGCCUUCCCGGGCCACAGCAGAGAGCUGGACUGGAAGAGGAGCAACCGGGACAGAACCGGCGCCCACAUGGGAUGCUGGCGCCGCAGGCAGAGGAUUAACCAAGUGAUCCAUGGCACAGAAAAAGCUCUCCUCUUUGCUGGCUCCUGUCCAUGGAAGUGGAGCUGUCUGCACCCCGCACCAGGGAAACCCAGGCACGUGAUUUGGAUCCAUGCAGUUGCUUGGAGGCAACACGAUGUAACCCCGAAACACCUCAGACAAAAUGGCCACUGCAAGGUGCAGGGAAGUUAAUGUCUGUGGAGCUGCCCUUGACCACUGUGAACAUGGGACCAGGUAGGUCUAGGAUGCUCUUCACAAGCUUCCUUAGACAGUACGGAGGUUUCAGCAACAGCAGUCCUCAGGGGAGUCCAGCUCCGUAAGUGUCCUCAUGCGAGCUUUUCCUUGUUCCCUGUUUCAUUUCCAGUGCCUCUCCCUUCCACCCCUUUGAAUGACAUUCCUAAGUGAAUUAUCAGCACUCAAACCUUUUACUUCAGUCUC
This is a non-coding RNA of Oryctolagus cuniculus (rabbit), 1025 nucleotides long. NCBI's taxonomy places the organism in Eukaryota, Metazoa, Chordata, Mammalia, Lagomorpha, Leporidae. The record is from RefSeq and is a predicted model, not a curated record.